This 714-nucleotide long non-coding RNA is filed under the name Heterocephalus glaber (naked mole-rat). RNAcentral's name for it is "lncRNA (ENSHGLG00100048613.1)". The record is from RNAcentral. Lineage: Eukaryota; Metazoa; Chordata; Mammalia; Rodentia; Bathyergidae.
CAAAACAGAGAGGAACCUGCUGUCAUAGGAACGCAUCAGAAUUCAGAACAGCCCUUACUCCUCAAGAAAUGUUCCCGAGAGAUGGCAGUGUCCUAGAUAGCUGAGGGAUUCCUUGCUAUUAAACGCCCAUCCUCUGCUCCACUCUCCCAUCUCCAGCCAUCUAAUGACCAGAAUCUACUCUGAGAAUAACAAAUGCUUCAGGGAACUUAUGAAACCAGAGACCCACAGAUACACAUGUCAGAGCAUAGAGGUCUUUCCAUCAUCCUCUUCCUGCUUUGGAGCCAGCAGAACUGAAAACAUGGGCCAAAAUAACCCUCUCCUCCUUCAAGUCACUGGUGUUGGGUGUUUGUCCCAUGGAUGAGAAAAGCGAUUAAAAUAGCUUGAAUGUGAAGACUGUGUAAUUUCAAGACGAUCAGAAAAAAAGCUUGCCAUCUGGAUGUCAUAAUAAAAUAAUGAAUUUCUGAGGCCUGCCUGGAGCCAGCGAACCAGGACAAUCACAGUGGAGCUGGCUACACACAUGUUGGCUCUUGGACUCACUAUAUGGUCUCCAACUCAUGGUGAUCGUUCUGCCCCUGCCUCCCAAGUGCUGGGAUAACACCUUCUACAAGGUGCAGCUCUGUUGGUCCAUGGACCACUUGGAGAAUUGAAAGGACAUACUGGGGGCAGAGGCACAUUUCCUGGAAGUGUAAUGAAGCUUCAAGACUCAUCACUUGC